This 406-nucleotide ribosomal RNA is filed under the name uncultured bacterium. RNAcentral describes it as "bacterial SSU rRNA". It matches the Rfam family "Bacterial small subunit ribosomal RNA", at positions 29 to 416 of the family's 1533-position model. The record is from RNAcentral.
AGCGAACGUUAGCGGCGGGCCUAACACAUGCAAGUCGAACGAGAAUAGGGGAGCAAUCCCCUUAGUAAAGUGGCGGACGGGUGCGUAACACGUGGGUAAUCUACCUUCCAGCGGGGGACAACCGUCCGAAAGGAUGGCUAAUACCGCAUACGUCGGCGAGGUCUACGGAUCUUGUCGGGAAAGAUGGCCUCUCCUUGGAAGCUGUCACUGGAAGAUGAGCCCGCGGCCCAUCAGCUAGUUGGUGAGGUAACGGCUCACCAAGGCUAUGACGGGUAGCUGGUCUGAGAGGAUGAUCAGCCACACUGGAACUGCGACACGGUCCAGACUCCUACGGGAGGCAGCAGUGGGGAAUAUUGGGCAAUGGGCGAAAGCCUGACCCAGCCACGCCGCGUGAGUGAUGAAGGCC